AAUUUUUUAAGAGGUUCGAAGUGUUAAGGUGUGCUGUGGUCCAAUUUCUCACAUUUUGAUAUUGAAGUGUUAAGAGGGCAUAUUGAACCUUUUUUUUGUUCUUUUUCCCCCUUGAACCGUAGAUUUCCUCCCCCUGUAUGCUGCUUGUGCUUUAGUAUCAGCACGAUUGUGACACGCACUCACGAUUCUGUUUUAUUUCAUUUUAUUUUAUAUUAUUUGAAUGAUGCAGAUUGGGAAAUUAUGUCAUGCAUGCCGAUUGAUUGAUGAAUCGAGAUAGACGAGAAGCAGGCAUACCUGCUAUUAGAAAUAAUGGAACCUAUUCUUGGACCUCCCAAAACUUUAUUUUAAGUUGGGUGGUUUUAUGACUAAACUUGAGCAUUUAAACUGAGAGAUUUUAGGAUUUAAGUAACCGAGCGCCUCCCUAAUCAAAAGUUUUACGGUUUGAAUGUUGGGAUGCCCUUCGUAUUUAUUAAAUUUCGAUGCAUGAUAAGGUGGACAUGUACUAGACUACUAGUCCACAAUCUAAGCUCAACAGGUUUUACCUGAGGGGCGUACCAGAGUUUAUAAAACUUAUUCUUGGACCUUCACUUAUAAGCUUUAACUUUUAUGUUUGAUUAGUUUAUUGACACCUGCAAAGUAUAUAUUGUGAUGAUGCGUUGUAUAGAUCAAUCCAAAGCCAAAAUUUGAAGUACAUCAUGAACAUUUGUCAGUAGAAUAACUCUAAUCACAUAAUCAAGUGUGCACCUAUUUUUUAGUUGAAGAUUUUUCCCUUUUUUUGUUUUUGGUGUUUCAUCAGAAUGUCAAUAUUUUUAUUCCAAUAUAGGAGAUCAUUUGA
This 835-nucleotide unclassified non-coding RNA is filed under the name Hevea brasiliensis (rubber tree). The record is from RNAcentral. Lineage: Eukaryota; Viridiplantae; Streptophyta; Magnoliopsida; Malpighiales; Euphorbiaceae.